UUCAGCCUCUACCCUCCACAGGUAGGAUAUAUUACCUGACAUUCAGCCUCUAACCUCCACAGGUAGGAUAUAUUACCUGACAUUCAGCCUCUAACCUCUGCAGGUAGGAUAUAUUACCUGACAUUCAGCCUCUAACCUCCGCAGGUAGGAUAUAUUACCUGACAUUCAGCCUCUAACCUCCACAGGUAGGAUAUAUUACCUGACAUUCAGCCUCUAACCUCUGCAGGUAG
Oncorhynchus keta (chum salmon) is the source of this 230-nucleotide long non-coding RNA. RefSeq lists it as uncharacterized. Lineage: Eukaryota; Metazoa; Chordata; Actinopteri; Salmoniformes; Salmonidae. The record is from RefSeq and is a predicted model, not a curated record. The transcript has 3 exons.